AUAUAUGGAUAACAUUAUUUUUCUUCUUUUAUAACAAAGAGUUUUUUAUUUUUUUUGAGAGAUAGGUAGCACGCUACUCGUUUCGUUUAUUUCAUUUAAAAAUAAAUUUAGCUGAAAAUAUGAAUCAAUUAGAAUUCGAACUUGGAAUCUCGGGUACCAAUCACCAAAUUCUUUGCCACUUGCUCUAGAAACGGUAUAUUAGAUGAUUCUAUUCAAAACAGUCUUUCAUAUUUCUAUUUAGAGUAAUUUGCUAAUAAUUUAAUAUUUUUUUUUUUUUUUUGAGAAAAAGGUAGCACGCUACCCGCUUCAUUCAUUAAACAGAUGAAUUAAGCUACAAGAGUGGGGCAACAUGGCCCCGAGAGAAAACAAGCCGAAAAAAAAAAAAAAAAAAAAAAAA
Molecule: long non-coding RNA, 397 nt
Filed under: Ananas comosus (pineapple)
Lineage: Eukaryota; Viridiplantae; Streptophyta; Magnoliopsida; Poales; Bromeliaceae
Description: long non-coding RNA (ACOM_LNC011139)
Source: RNAcentral